RNAcentral lists this long non-coding RNA (219 nucleotides) under Mytilus galloprovincialis (Mediterranean mussel). Lineage: Eukaryota; Metazoa; Mollusca; Bivalvia; Mytilida; Mytilidae. The record is from RNAcentral.
GUACCAAAUGACCUCCGUCAGACAUUAAUCAGUCUGUUGGAAAUCUUUCUUUAAAUUUUUAUGCUUAUUUUACAAAAUGUACCUUUGUUUGUAUGUCUGUAAGAUUCAAAUCAAUCAGAGAUUUCUGAGGAACUACAAACCAAGAGUUUCUGAAAGUCAUCAGUCCUCAUGUGAACAUGCUAUACUGAGUAAUGUAGUUCUUACCCUUUCAACUCCCCG